GAUGAAGAACGCAGCGAAAUGCGAUACGUAAUGUGAAUUGCAGAAUUCAGUGAAUCAUCGAAUCUUUGAACGCAUAUUGCGCUCUCUGGUAUUCCGGAGAGCAUGCUUGUUUGAGUAUCAGUAAACACCUCAACUUCCAUAUCUUUUUUGAAAUGGGAGUUGGACUUGAGUGAUCCCAACGCUUUUCCUCACCGAAAAGUGGCGGGUUACUUGAAAUGCAGGUGCAGCUGGACUUUUCUCUGAGCUAUAAGCAUAUCUAUUUAGUCUGCCUAAAAAACAGAUUAUUACCUUUGCUGCAGCUAACAUAAAGGAGAUUAGUUCUUGUGCUGACUGAUGCAGGAUUCACAAAGACAGGCUUCGGCCGACUUUGUAAACUCGAUCUCAAAUCAAGUAAGACUACCCGCUGACCUUAAGCAUAUCAAUAAGCGGAGGA
RNAcentral lists this unclassified non-coding RNA (433 nucleotides) under soil metagenome. RNAcentral's name for it is "partial contains 5.8S ribosomal RNA, internal transcribed spacer 2, and large subunit ribosomal RNA". The stretch from base 1 to 120 matches the Rfam family "5.8S ribosomal RNA", at positions 35 to 154 of the family's 154-position model. The record is from RNAcentral.